RNAcentral lists this ribosomal RNA (422 nucleotides) under uncultured bacterium. RNAcentral's name for it is "bacterial SSU rRNA". It matches the Rfam family "Bacterial small subunit ribosomal RNA", at positions 355 to 774 of the family's 1533-position model. The record is from RNAcentral.
UGAGGAAUAUUUGUCAAUUUGCUCAAUCCUUAACCAUCCAUGCCUCUUGCAGGUAGACGGCCCUCCUGGUUGUAAACUGCUUUUGUACGUUAAUAAACCUCGCUACUUUUAGCGAUCUUAAUGUACCGUAAUAAUAAUGAUCGUCUAACUCCGUGCCAGCAGCCGCGGUAAUACGGAGGAUCCAAGCGUUAUCCGGAUUUAUUGGGUUUAAAGGGUGCGUAGGCGGCCUGUUAAGUCAGGGGUGAAAGACGGUGGCUCAACCAUCGCAGUGCCCUUGAUACUGAUGGGCUUGAAUGGACUAGAGGUAGGCGGAAUGUGAAAAGUAGCGGUGAAAUGCAUAGAUAUGUCACAGAACACCGAUUGCGAAGGCAGCUUACUAUGGUUUUAUUGACGCUGAGGCACGAAAGCGUGGGGAUCGAACA